GCCCCCGUAUCCCAAAUGGUCAGAGGAACGCCCCUUAAAAGGGCGUCCAGUGUGGGUUCGACUCCCACCGGGGGCACGA
Molecule: transfer RNA, 79 nt
Filed under: uncultured Acidimicrobiales bacterium
Lineage: Bacteria; Bacillati; Actinomycetota; Acidimicrobiia; Acidimicrobiales
Description: tRNA-Leu-TAA
Rfam family: tRNA
About the family: Transfer RNA (tRNA) molecules are approximately 80 nucleotides in length. Their secondary structure includes four short double-helical elements and three loops (D, anti-codon, and T loops).
Source: RNAcentral